CUGGAGGUGAUGCAGAUAUGUGUUACGUGAAAUCCAUAUGAUGUCUUUGUAUUCAUACUGUCUGAUCCAG
Molecule: small nucleolar RNA, 70 nt
Organism: Hyla sarda
Lineage: Eukaryota; Metazoa; Chordata; Amphibia; Anura; Hylidae
Source: RefSeq, a predicted model, not a curated record